RNAcentral lists this long non-coding RNA (622 nucleotides) under Homo sapiens (human). RNAcentral's name for it is "ZNF433 and ZNF878 antisense RNA 1". The record is from RNAcentral. Lineage: Eukaryota; Metazoa; Chordata; Mammalia; Primates; Hominidae.
GAGGAAACCCGAAGUCGGGAUUCUUUCUUUCCUGCUCUGAGAGGGACCAGGUCCCUCCUCCGUAGCUUUUGUCUCUCUAUUGCCUGCGCCGUGUCCUGGACUGCUCACGGGAGUUCUGCAGGAGACGCCGGAAUAUCUGGAAGCUGAAAAAUGGAAAUAAAUGGAAAGACCAGAAUAUUGAAGAUCACUACAGAAAUCUAAGGGUCAGGCAUGGUGGCUCACACCUGUAAUCCCAGCACUUUGGGAAGCAGAGGCAGUUGGAUCACUUGAACCUGGGAGGCGUUCUGGAGGUCAGGAGUUCGAGACCAGCUUGGCCAACAUGGUGAAACCCUGUGUCUGCUAAAAAUACAAAAAUUAGCCGGGCCUCAUGGCACAUGCCUGUAAUCCCAGCUACUCUGGAGGCUGAAGCAGGAGAAUCGCUUGAACCUGGGAGGCGGAGGUUGCAGUGAGCCGAGAUCACGCCACUGCUUCUUGCUUUAAAAGAAGAGUAAAGACAAGAGUGUUGGACCAGUAUUGCAGUUCUGUAGUAUCAUUUCUUAUAAAAAACAAAACAACAAUAAUUUAUCAAAAUUGGCAUAUAAAGACUGACAACAUUCUAAUAAAGGCACAAAUUUCUUUUUAA